CCUACGGGUGGCAGAAGGGAGGAAGAAUGGUCAAUGGGCGAGAGCCGGAAGCAGCCAAGGAGCGUGAAGGAUGAAGGCCCUACGGGGUGUAAACUUCGUUUAUAAAGGAAUAAAGUGAGGCACGUGUGCCUUUUUGUAUGUACUUUAUGAAUAAGGAUCGGCUAACUCCGUGCCAGCAGCCGCGGUAAUACGGAGGAUCCGAGCGUUAUCCGGAUUUAUUGGGUUUAAAGGGAGCGUAGAUGGGUUGUUAAGUCAGUUGUGAAAGUUUGGGGCUCAACCCUAAAAUGGCCUUUGAUACUGGCAGUCUUGAGUACAGUUGAGGUAGGCUGAAUUCGUGGUGUAUCGGU
RNAcentral lists this ribosomal RNA (347 nucleotides) under uncultured bacterium. RNAcentral describes it as "partial 16S ribosomal RNA". It matches the Rfam family "Bacterial small subunit ribosomal RNA", at positions 338 to 682 of the family's 1533-position model. The record is from RNAcentral.